UGAUUCCCCUCAAAGCCCUGGGCCAGA
This 27-nucleotide non-coding RNA is filed under the name Homo sapiens (human). The record is from RNAcentral. Lineage: Eukaryota; Metazoa; Chordata; Mammalia; Primates; Hominidae.